Drosophila montana is the source of this 645-nucleotide long non-coding RNA. RefSeq lists it as uncharacterized. NCBI's taxonomy places the organism in Eukaryota, Metazoa, Arthropoda, Insecta, Diptera, Drosophilidae. The transcript is spliced from 3 exons. The record is from RefSeq and is a predicted model, not a curated record.
AGGUUACGGUGACUAUAUAUGUAUAUCGAUCUGGGAUAUCGAUUGGAUGAGACCCCCGCAAUCUCCUCCGCGUUCGGACUCCUCCAAUUCGACGCCUCUUGAGAAGGCGCCUAGCCAGUCGAUUUGGAUGGUUUCCCAGUCGCGUUAUGUAGUUUGUCCUAGUCCUAGGUCUUUUUCCAAAUCGGAAGUUCGCAUAUACCAGGGGGCACCAGACAGAUAGCGGAGCGUUUUUGCUUGAAACACCCUGAUUUUUGUAAGGCGCGAUUUUGCAGCAAUACCGUAAACUUGAAUACCAUAUCGCCAGGCAGGAGCUAGGGCUCCUGUGAUACUUGAGAUGUUUACUAAAGGUUAAGUCUAAGUGUACCCCUAAGUAUUUGUAGCUGUUGUGGUGCGUCAGGAAGACUCCCGGACUCCCUGCGGAGCGUUCCCUAAAGCAGAUUCGUACUGGAACAAAAUCAAAAAACGUGGUAUGCAAGUCGAUUCCAGAGAUCAGUACGAGUUCAAAAAGCUGUAUCUCGGCCAAAUAAGCCCCGAUCUUGGAAAUAUUGGUCUCGUUCGACUCGUGGUCACAGCCAUUUUCAGCAAACAUUGUAAUUUUUGCAAAAAACAUAGUAGUUUUUCUCAAAUUGGGCCAUUUCUUAGAAU